RNAcentral lists this ribosomal RNA (531 nucleotides) under Pseudopedinella elastica. RNAcentral's name for it is "partial Eukaryotic large subunit ribosomal RNA". It matches the Rfam family "Eukaryotic large subunit ribosomal RNA", at positions 2313 to 2841 of the family's 3401-position model. The record is from RNAcentral. Lineage: Eukaryota; Dictyochophyceae; Pedinellales.
GCAUGAAUGGAUUAACGAGAUUCCUACUGUCCCUAUCUACUAUCUAGCGAAACCACAGCCAAGGGAACGGGCUUGGAAUAAUCAGCGGGGAAAGAAGCCCUGUUGAGCUUGACUCUAGUCCGACGUUGUGAAAUGACUUAUGAGGUGUAGCGUAGGCAGGAGCUUCGGCGAACAUGAAACACUGCCACUCGUAAUGUUGUUUUACUUAUCUUGUCGCGUAGCGUCCAUCCGUCCUCGCGGGCGCGUGGUUCUAGCGUUAACUGUGCCAUUGUCCCAUUAGCUACGCAAGAGACAACGUCAGGUUGGGAGUUUGGCUGGGGCGGCACAUCUGUUAAAUAAUAACACAGGUGUCCUAAGGGCAGCUCAAUGAGAACAGAAAUCUCAUGUAGAACAAAAGGGUAAAAGCUGUCUUGAUUUUGAUUUUCAGUACGAAUACAAACCGUGAAAGCGUGGCCUAUCGAUCCUUUAGUCUUUGGGAAUUUCAAGCUAGAGGUGUCAGAAAAGUUACCACAGGGAUAACUGGCUUGUGGC